AGAGAACUUUCCAGAGAUGGAUUGGUGCCUUCGGGAACUCUGAGACAGGUGCUGCAUGGCUGUCGUCAGCUCGUGUUGUGAAAUGUUGGUUAAGUCCCGCAACGAGCGCAACCCUUAUCCUUUGUUGCCAGCGGUUAGGCCGGGAACUCAAAGGAGACUGCCAGUGAUAAACUGGAGGAAGGUGGGGAUGACGUCAAGUCAUCAUGGCCCUUACGAGUAGGGCUACACACGUGCUACAAUGGCGCAUACAAAGAGAAGCGACCUCGCGAGAGCAAGCGGACCUCAUAAAGUGCGUCGUAGUCCGGAUUGGAGUCUGCAACUCGACUCCAUGAAGUCGGAAUCGCUAGUAAUCGUGGAUCAGAAUGCCACGGUGAAUACGUUCCCGGGCCUUGUACACACCGCCCGUCACACCAUGGGAGUGGGUUGCAAAAGAGGUAGGUAGCUUAACCUUCGGGAGGGCGCUUACCACUUUGUGAUUCAUGACUGGGGUGAAGUCGUAACAAGGUAAGCGUAGUGCU
Molecule: ribosomal RNA, 518 nt
Filed under: uncultured bacterium
Lineage: Bacteria
Description: bacterial SSU rRNA
Rfam family: Bacterial small subunit ribosomal RNA
Source: RNAcentral